Molecule: ribosomal RNA, 462 nt
Filed under: uncultured bacterium
Lineage: Bacteria
Description: partial 16S ribosomal RNA
Rfam family: Bacterial small subunit ribosomal RNA
Source: RNAcentral
AACAAACGCUGGCGGCGUGCCUAAUACAUGCAAGUCGAACGGGGAAAGCUUUCGGGUGAGUACUAGUGGCGCACGGGUGAGGAACGCGUGGAUAAUCUGCCAUAGAGCGGGGGAUAACUAGUCGAAAGAUUAGCUAAUACCGCAUAAGACCACGAGAGCUGCGGCUUUUGAGGUCAAAGGUCUUUCGCUCUAAGAUGAGUCCGCGUAAGAUUAGCGAGUUGGUACGGUAACGUCGCACCAAGACGACGAUCUAUACCUCAUUUGAGCGGAUGAUCGGUCACACCGGCAAUGAGACGCGGUCCAGGCUCCUACGGGACGCAGCAGUAGAGCAUAUUGCACCAAGGCCGAAUCACUGAUGCAGCGCCGCCGCGUGAGUGAUGCAGGCAUUCGGGUCGUAAAGCUCUGUAACAGGGGAAUCACACAAUGACGGUACCCUGUAAGAAAGGCUCGGCUAACUUCGUG